GAUGAAGAACGUAGCAAAAUGCGAUACUUGGUGUGAAUUGCAGAAUCCCGUGAACCAUCGAGUUUUUGAACGCAAGUUGCGCCCGAAGCCUUUUGGCCGAGGGCACGUCUGCCUGGGCGUCACGCAUCGCGUCCCCCCACAAAUUCUCCGUCAGGGGAGCUUGUGUUUCGGGGGCGGAUACUGGUCUCCCGUGCUCAUGGCGCGGUUGGCCGAAAUAGGAGUCCCUUCGAUGGACGCACGAACUAGUGGUGGUCGUAAAAACCCUCGUCUUAUGUUUCGUGCCGUUAGUCGCGAGGGAAGCUCUUCAAAAACCCCAACGCGUCGUCUCUUGACGGCGCUUCGACCGCGACCCCAGGUCAGGCGGGACUACCCGCUGAGUUUAAGCAUAUCAAUAAGCGGAGGA
RNAcentral lists this unclassified non-coding RNA (403 nucleotides) under soil metagenome. RNAcentral's name for it is "partial contains 5.8S ribosomal RNA, internal transcribed spacer 2, and large subunit ribosomal RNA". The stretch from base 1 to 122 matches the Rfam family "5.8S ribosomal RNA", at positions 35 to 154 of the family's 154-position model. The record is from RNAcentral.